This 773-nucleotide ribosomal RNA is filed under the name Streptococcus anginosus. Its description in RNAcentral is "bacterial SSU rRNA". It matches the Rfam family "Bacterial small subunit ribosomal RNA", at positions 28 to 776 of the family's 1533-position model. The record is from RNAcentral. Lineage: Bacteria; Bacillati; Bacillota; Bacilli; Lactobacillales; Streptococcaceae.
GACGAACGCUGGCGGCGUGCCUAAUACAUGCAAGUAGGACGCACAGCCUAUACCGUAGCUUGCUACACCAUAGGCUGUGAGUUGCGAACGGGUGAGUAACGCGUAGGUAACCUGCCUAUUAGAGGGGGAUAACUAUUGGAAACGAUAGCUAAUACCGCAUAACAGUAUGUAACACAUGUUAGAUGCUUGAAAGAUGCAAUUGCAUCGCUAGUAGAUGGACCUGCGUUGUAUUAGCUAGUAGGUAGGGUAAUGGCCUACCUAGGCAACGAUACAUAGCCGACCUGAGAGGGUGAUCGGCCACACUGGGACUGAGACACGGCCCAGACUCCUACGGGAGGCAGCAGUAGGGAAUCUUCGGCAAUGGGGGGAACCCUGACCGAGCAACGCCGCGUGAGUGAAGAAGGUUUUCGGAUCGUAAAGCUCUGUUGUUAAGGAAGAACGAGUGUGAGAAUGGAAAGUUCAUACUGUGACGGUACUUAACCAGAAAGGGACGGCUAACCACGUGCCAGCAGCCGCGGUAAUACGUAGGUCCCGAGCGUUGUCCGGAUUUAUUGGGCGUAAAGCGAGCGCAGGCGGUUAGAAAAGUCUGAAGUGAAAGGCAGUGGCUCAACCAUUGUAGGCUUUGGAAACUGUUUAACUUGAGUGCAGAAGGGGAGAGUGGAAUUCCAUGUGUAGCGGUGAAAUGCGUAGAUAUAUGGAGGAACACCGGUGGCGAAAGCGGCUCUCUGGUCUGUCACUGACGCUGAGGCUCGAAAGCGUGGGGAGCGAACAGG